CCUACGGGAGGCAGCAGUGGGGAAUAUUGCACAAUGGGCGCGAGCCUGAUGCAGCGACGCCGCGUGAGGGAUGACGGCCUUCGGGUUGUAAACCUCUUUCAGUAGGGAAGAAGCGAAAGUGACGGUACCUGCAGAAGAAGCGCCGGCUAACUACGUGCCAGCAGCCGCGGUAAUACGUAGGGCGCAAGCGUUAUCCGGAAUUAUUGGGCGUAAAGAGCUCGUAGGCGGUUUGUCGCGUCUGCCGUGAAAGUCCGGGGCUCAACUCCGGAUCUGCGGUGGGUACGGGCAGACUAGAGUGAUGUAGGGGAGACUGGAAUUCCUGGUGUAGCGGUGAAAUGCGCAGAUAUCAGGAGGAACACCGAUGGCGAAGGCAGGUCUCUGGGCAUUAACUGACGCUGAGGAGCGAAAGCAUGGGGAGCGAACAGGAUUAGAUACCCUGGUAGUCCAUGCCGUAAACGUUGGGCACUAGGUGUGGGGGACAUUCCACGUUUUCCGCGCCGUAGCUAACGCAUUAAGUGCCCCGCCUGGGGAGUACGGCCGCAAGGCAAAACUCAAGGAAUUGACGGCUGAGACGNGCGAGCGACGACGAGGGAGAG
RNAcentral lists this ribosomal RNA (596 nucleotides) under uncultured bacterium. RNAcentral describes it as "bacterial SSU rRNA". It matches the Rfam family "Bacterial small subunit ribosomal RNA", at positions 338 to 945 of the family's 1533-position model. The record is from RNAcentral.